UACAGAGGUCCCAAGCGUUGUUCGGAUUCAUUGGGCGUAAAGGGCGCGUAGGCGGUCGUGACAAGUCACUUGUCAAAUCUCCGGGCUUAACUCGGAACGGUCAAGUGAUACUGUCGGACUAGAGUACAGAAGGGGCAACUGGAAUUCUCGGUGUAGCGGUGAAAUGCGUAGAUAUCGAGAGGAACACCUGCGGCGAAGGCGGGUUGCUGGGCUGAUACUGACGCUGAGGCGCGAAAGCCAGGGGAGCGAACGGG
This 254-nucleotide ribosomal RNA is filed under the name uncultured bacterium. Its description in RNAcentral is "partial 16S ribosomal RNA". It matches the Rfam family "Bacterial small subunit ribosomal RNA", at positions 524 to 776 of the family's 1533-position model. The record is from RNAcentral.